GAUGAACGCUGACAGAAUGCUUAACACAUGCAAGUCAACUUGAAUUUGGGUUUUUUAACUUAGAUUUGGGUGGCGGACGGGUGAGUAACGCGUAAAGAACUUGCCUCACAGCUAGGGACAACAUUUGGAAACGAAUGCUAAUACCUGAUAUUAUGAUUAUAAGGCAUCUUAGAAUUAUGAAAGCUAUAUGCGCUGUGAGAGAGCUUUGCGUCCCAUUAGCUAGUUGGAGAGGUAACGGCUCACCAAGGCGAUGAUGGGUAGCCGGCCUGAGAGGGUGAACGGCCACAAGGGGACUGAGACACGGCCCUUACUCCUACGGGAGGCAGCAGUGGGGAAUAUUGGACAAUGGACCAAGAGUCUGAUCCAGCAAUUCUGUGUGCACGAUGACGUUUUUCGGAAUGUAAAGUGCUUUCAGUUGGGAAGAAAAAAAUGACGGUACAAACAGAAGAAGUGACGGCUAAAUACGUG
This 468-nucleotide ribosomal RNA is filed under the name uncultured bacterium. RNAcentral describes it as "partial 16S ribosomal RNA". It matches the Rfam family "Bacterial small subunit ribosomal RNA", at positions 28 to 507 of the family's 1533-position model. The record is from RNAcentral.